This 1521-nucleotide ribosomal RNA is filed under the name uncultured Planctomycetales bacterium. RNAcentral's name for it is "16S ribosomal RNA". It matches the Rfam family "Bacterial small subunit ribosomal RNA". Lineage: Bacteria; Pseudomonadati; Planctomycetota; Planctomycetia; Planctomycetales. The record is from RNAcentral.
CAUGCAAGUCGAACGAGGAUAUAUCCUUCGGGGUAUAAGCCGAGUGGCACAAGGGUGAGCAAUGCAUAGAUUACCUACCUUUAGGAUAAGGACAACUUUGUGAAAACGGAGCUAAUACUUAAUAAUACAAAUGAAAGUAAUUUUCUUUUGUCAAAGGGAGGGUAGCAAUACCUUUCGCCUAGAGAGGGGUUUAUGUCCUAUCAGCUUGUUGGUGGGGUAAUAGCCUACCAAGGCGAAGACGGGUAGCCGGUUUAAGAGGAUGGUCGGCCACACUGGGACUGAGACACUGCCCAGACUUCUACGGAAGGCUGCAGUCGAGAAUCUUUCGCAAUGCCCGAAAGGGUGACGAAGCGACGCCGCGUGGGUGAAGAAGGCCUUCGGGUUGUAAAACCCUGUCAGGAGUUAUGAAAUGUAAGUGCGCUAAUAUCGUGCUUAUUUGGCAAAGGCUCCAAAGGAAGCCACGGCUAACUCUGUGCCAGCAGCCGCGGUAAUACAGAGGUGGCGAGCGUUGUUCGGAAUUAUUGGGCGUAAAGGGCACGUAGGUGGGUUUGCAAGUCAGAUGUGAAAGCCUUCUGUUCAACGGGAGAAUUGCAUCUGAAACUGCUAAUCUUGAGUAUAGGAGGGGAGAAUGGAACUUCUGGUGGAGCGGUGAAAUGCGUAGAUAUCAGAAGGAACGCCGGCGGCGAAAGCGAUUCUCUGGCCUAUUACUGACUCUCAGUGUGCGAAAGCUAGGGGAGCAAACGGGAUUAGAUACCCCGGUAGUCCUAGCCGUAAACGAUGGGCACUAAGUAGAGGGGAUUACCUAUGUUCUCUCUGCCGUAGCUAACGCAUUAAGUGCCCCGCCUGGGGAGUACGGCCGCAAGGCUAAAACUCAAAAGAAUUGACGGGGGCUCGCACAAGCGGUGGAGCAUGUGGCUUAAUUCGAUGCAACGCGAAAAACCUUACCGGGGUUUGACAUGAUAGAAGUAGGAACCUGAAAGGGGGACGAACGGUAUCCAGUCCGUAGCUAUUACAGGUGUUGCAUGGCUGUUGUCAGCUCGUGUCGUGAGACGUUGGGUUAAGUCCCCUAACGAGCGAAACCCUUGUUUUUAGUUACCAGCGGGUUAUGCCGGGUACUCUAGAAAGACUGCCGCCGUCAAGACGGAGGAAGGUGGGGAUGACGUCAAGUCAUCAUGGCCCUUAUGCCCCGGGCUGCACACGUGCUACAAUGGUCGGUACAGACGGAAGCGAAGCCGAGAGGUGAAGCGAAUCCUAAAAAGCCGAUCUCAGUUCGGAUUGGAGGCUGAAAUUCGCCUCCAUGAAGUUGGAAUCGCUAGUAAUCGCGGAUCAGCAAUGUCGCGGUGAAUAUGUUCCCGAGCCUUGUACACACCGCCCGUCAAGCCACCCAAGCAGGAUGCACCCGAAAACAUUAUAUCUAACCAGGGCAACUUGGAGGAAAAUGUUGAAGGAGUGUUUUGUGAGGAGGACUAAGUCGUAACAAGGUAGUCGUAGGAGAACCUGCGGCUGGAUCACCUCCUUUCU